This is a long non-coding RNA of Carica papaya (papaya), 635 nucleotides long. RefSeq lists it as uncharacterized. The record is from RefSeq and is a predicted model, not a curated record. Lineage: Eukaryota; Viridiplantae; Streptophyta; Magnoliopsida; Brassicales; Caricaceae.
UCUCUGGUUUUCCUUUUUAACCCCUUACGUCUCGCGUAUUUAUAAAGCAGAGGUGGCGUCACAGAGACGCGCCUAUGCACUUCAGCUCCUCUAUAAAAGCGCGAUACUGUUUUUUGUUCUUUCGCUUGCUCUCUUACUGUCUCUGCUGUCUCUCGGUCCGGUAAAUAGACAGCUUUUUUGAAGAGGUGAUAGCAAAUGCACCGCCACAAAAUCCCCUGAAAACAUGACCUCCAAGGAUUUGGAGUUUGAGAAACAAAAAGGUUUAACCCAGCACAUGGUGCUCUAAUUAUAUUAUUAUUAUUAUUGUUGUUGUUAUUAUUUUAUUACAACUAUUUAUAUUUAUAAUUGAGAUUCCGUUUUACUCCAUUAUUUUCUGUUUAACAUGAAAUGUGAAGAAACAUGAGAAAUGUGUGAAAGGAUUUGUUUUUCAAUUCUCUUUUUUAUGUCAUAUUUGAUUUUUUUUUUCCCCCUUUUUACCACAUUUUACGCUUGUAAUAACACCCUAUUCAUAUGAUGUUGUGCACCCUUGAUUGGUAAGGCAAUAAGGAAUUUGUUGUUGAUGGAAGCAGGUUUUAGUGUACAUGCAUACUUAUGUUUGAAAAAUCUAUCAAUAUUUAGUGUGCCAUGAAUACCUA